UCUUACUCCAGAAGUGUUGUUUACACAGUGAAAGCUAAUAUACUGCUUUUUGAGGGAGGUCGAUUAUACUCAGAAACAUAAUCUGGGCACUGCUUCGAGCGCCCACCCCCAAGUUCUGAUUUCUAUGCUCUUCCUUUGCCUUGGGGGGCCUUGCAACGAUGGGCCUACGCUUGCCCAGCCUGAAGAGUGAUGUCCCAUAGCACCUGCUGGUUCUUCAAGCAACUCUUCUCUGUCCACAAAACAAUCAGGACAAGCCACUCACCCUCAGCUCUAAGAAGAAUUGGGGGCAGGGAAAGGGGGGGGGGGGGUACUGAGCCCAAGCUAUCAGAUUCUAUUUCGCUCUCUCUCUCUCUCACUCCCUUGCUCCCUAUCUCUGUCUCCUCCCCCAAGUGUUUUCUAUAAUUUGCUUUCUAGAGCCCUGUCAUAGCUGGUCUCGUCGGUGUUGCACACUUUGCAUGAUGUGUGGUUGACAGGGAGCCUGGUUCCAAGCCGUCUUAGUCUUAAAGAGUCAGUCACUUCUCCAUGGUGUGGUAUUCCCGUCCUCUCAGAUCCAAGGUGACCACAGCCAUUAGUUCCAUUGCCGUGUAACUACUUCUGGCUUUACUUCUGGCUUUACUUCUGGCUUUACUUUACGGGUGGUGAUAGUGAGGAAAGGCAGUGGCAGAGUUCCACAAGUUGACUGCAUUUAUUCUACAACAUGUUUCGCAGAUCCAUUAAAUCCAGGUUAGCAAAUUCACUCAAGACAUUCUCACCUGUCUGCAGCAAAACUCGAUCCGAGGUUUUCCUUUCAGAAAGUAGAGAAAGGGUAAAGGAUAAUGAUUCCUUUUUUAUUUCAUGAUAAUUUCGGCAAAAGAUGUGAAGUAAACAAAAAUUGGACCCGAGUGAGGAUUCCAUUUUACCAUUUGACACAGCAUAUGUAGUCAAAACAAUCAUGAUAAUUACUUCACCUGAAAGAUUCUUUAAUCCAAAGCUCUUUACAUGUUACUAACCCCAUUAACACCUCGGGGAGGUUAAGCAAUUUUCCCAACGUUACAGACACGUUGUCCCACCUGAGUUAAGAGUCCUCUGAUCCCAAUUCCCAAUCCUCAGCCUCCUUGCCACUCUGAAGCCCCCAGUAGCUUCUCCACACGACUGUUAACUGGCAGGGGGGGUCUGGUCUGCUCUCUGAACGACAGACUCCCUUGCCUUUUAAUGAAGUGCCAAAUAAUAAACUACUCCACAAUGCUGCCAGGAACGAAGGAACGAAAGGAAGAGAGAAAUGGUAAACACAUUACCUCUUGUUUGAAGUCUCGAUAACACUGACACUUGUGCAUUACGAUACAUUUCUAGACAACAAGAAAAAUCCCAUUCACAGGCAGUGGUAGCAAGGAGUCCAGUUAAAUUAGACCAAAAACACGUUUCAAGCAGACAUGCUGUCAGCUCAGUAAAUAUACCACCAUGUUCAGCCUACCAAUAGUGCUACUCUUCUCUGACUGUUUAGUGUGAGGCUGUUUCGACCCUUUGACCGAGAUCUUUGAUUGAUGGAAUGUGCUACGCCUUUCCAUCAUACUGGAAUAUAUUACUGUUUGGUUCAGAUUUUUUGUUUCUGGUUUCAUUUCUUUUUUCUCAGGGUGCUGUGAUAGAAGCUUGUGCCAGAGCAGUCUCUAUUUUGCACAUUUAUUUAAGAAACACAAACAUUUAUAUAUGAUAAGCAUAUUGACGUAUACUGUAUCUUUACUCUCCCUGCCUAUGUAUAACACCACUAUAGCCAUGUAUCCAGAUUCAGUCCUUGCCUAUGUCAUUAUGGUUCUUUACGCCUCUGUUAGGUACAGUUGCCUUUUUAGCUUGCGCUUCCACAGCACAGGUGGUCAUGGCUUUGAUCAUGAUGUUCAUCAAAUCCCAUGGCUCAUUUCUCUCAGAUGGGCCUCCCCAUAGGCUGGCAGGGGCCACUCACAGGCUGAGCUUAUUGUCAAAUUGGCUUAGAUUGGAACCACACCCCCCUCUACAACUUUAAACCCCCUGAUGAUUUAUGUAACAUGCAUACAAUUGGGACAUACAAUUGGGACAUUUAGAGCAGAUGCCAUCCAAUCAGCAUCCAGUUUGCUAUUAGAUAUGGAGGGAUGGGGGAAAUCUGUUUUUCGGUUGGUCUCUUAAUCCAAAUCUGGUUUCAACUACAGUAAGAAUGGCUUUCACUACUAGACUGUUACCAAUCACCCCACAAUUCUUUUUACAUGUGGCCAAGAGAGGAAAUUGUAAGGUUGUUUUUUUAACCUGCUUGGUUUCAACCAAGAUUUCCAAUAUGUUAUCUUUCCCCCAUUACUGUUUCUCACCCAGAGAUUAGAAUUGAAAAGCAGUUUCCCGGCACCUCUGCCUCCCAGCAUGAGACGUUCUUAAUAAGAGAGCAUCUCAAAUCACAGUGGAAACUCACGCAGCCAAGCUCACCUUGAUUAAAAAUGUAUUCAAUCUUAAGGGCACUGUGAAAUCAUCAUUUCAGUCACACCAUGAUUAUUUCAUACCCUCUCAGACAGAGCAUUUAUUAAUGCUCCUUCUAAAUAAGACAGCUUUUUCUCAGUGUCUUUACUCACAUGUUAUUAUGGGGGGAGGUAGCUAGUAGGGAGAUAGGAGCUGGGGAUGGGCAUUAACCACAAGAGUUGGGCUGGAUUGGCUCAAAAUAAUAGGUUUAAAAUCACUAUUUUCCGGUCUGAGAAGCUAGUGAUAAGGAAGCAGAGCAAUGUCUGUAUCCGCACUGCUCUUCAUGAAUGUAUCCCCACCAUCUGCACCAGCCGAGCCGCCCCUCCAUAUGCAGACCCAAUGUUUAUGUAUGGAGUACAAUUUGAGUCUUGGUCUCCCCAAAUCACUGCUAGUCCACCCUGGUUGGUUAUCAGUUGGAUCCAAACUUCCAAAGCCAAAUAUCAAUCACCUGGCUUUGCUCCAAGACUACUUUGUACGGGCAAGCCAGGCUGCACUUUUGCAAUUCCAUUAUGCUGCUGGUAAAAGAAAAACUGAAAACCCUUGGUAUAAAAUGGCUCUCCAGUGUUUUGUGACAAUUUUUGGUCGUCUGAUUCUUGUCUAGCUGGUUGUCCAAAGCGUACUUUUUUUUAAAAAUACAGUGUGGAAUACAGCUGUAUGUUUUGUGGCUGUAAACAAUAAUAGAGCAUUUUGUCUGCAGUGCAAUAUGUCGUAGACAGGUGAGAGCUUCACGCAUUCUUCUCCCAUAAAACAUGCCCCACAGGCCUCCAUUUUAGGUUCAUGGAGCUUGUGGUGUAGAAGGACAAGCGCACCCAGGCUCAAACUGAAAUGGGAAACCAAUACAUUUUCCUUCAUGGUCUUUUCCAGCAAAGCUCAUGCAAGAGAAACGAUUCCCAUCCUCUCAUCUAGUUUCCUCUCAAUCAUUUUAUUUGUGACAUCACAAGGCCCAAGUAAUGUUCCUAUGCACAUGUUAGCAUGUUUUCACUGGUUUGUUUGUUUGUUCCGAGAAGAACGUACCAUGUUUGUGCUCAGCUCAUUUUCCACUUUUAGAAAUGUUCACUUGGCUGGGAGUGUGUAUGGAGUAGGAAGCAGUGGAGGGACGCAUGUGUAUGAAUGGUGGAGAAAGGAGUCUAGCAGCUAGCAAGCUAGUGAUGAAAACUGCAGCUUAGCCAUGGGUCACUGUCUCGCUCUAGCUGUAGGCAGUCCCCACAAAGAGUCAAUCAAAACCACUAGGUUUUUAAUCUUUGAUGUCGCUGUCACUUUCUCUCAGCUCUUGACAAGCUACAGUAAAACCCCUUUUCCAAACGUAACACGGUCCACCAAGAAAAACGACUUAGCUAGCAUGCAAUACAUUCCAUGGUUUUACCUUAUGCAUCUAAACCCGUCAUACAUCACACACACAGAGUGGGGGUAUCUGCAGGAUCAAGUGGCUAAGAUUCAAUCCCGAUGCAGUUGUACAAUUCCACAGGCGGGACAUUACAAAGGAUAACUAGAUUUGAACUCCCGCGGGAGAUGAAAAUUAUCUGUCAUUAUCUCGCUGCCUCAAAUGAGACCUUCAUACCCCAGGAUAGAGAGGGCCCCUCCUCCCAUUGAUUACGACAAUGUUCUCCAUCUACAUGGCAAACUGGGUCCACCAUCAAUACCAUUCAGAGUAGUUGAGGGAGCUCCAGAGUGUUUAGGCUGAAAUGCCAUUGCAACAGUGUUACUUACUAGGUCACAAGCAAACUGCAGUUAAAAAGACAAUGUAUUACACCUGAACUUCUUUACUACUGUCGAAGGUAUGUGCUCAUAUUACUCACCAGGCCAACUGUACAGUCCCUGUCUCUGUUUUGAUGUUGAACUGGGCAAAAAUUAAAUAAAUAAAUGAAGAAAACAAGUGUAUCAGAAAUGGUUGAAAUACUGUGUACAUAUUUGAACUUUUGGUUUCUAAUUUAUAAAAUAUAAGCUUUAGCUCUUGGAGUACUUAUUUUAUUUUUUUCCUUUCACGCGUAGCUUUGUGUUUUUAUUUUCUAUUUCUGUAAAGUGUGUAAAUAUAUCUUUAUGAUAAUAAGUCAUAUUAAAAAAUCUUAUUUUAAGAAUC
Long non-coding RNA from Oncorhynchus tshawytscha (Chinook salmon), 4528 nucleotides. NCBI's taxonomy places the organism in Eukaryota, Metazoa, Chordata, Actinopteri, Salmoniformes, Salmonidae. The record is from Ensembl.